RNAcentral lists this ribosomal RNA (253 nucleotides) under uncultured bacterium. RNAcentral's name for it is "partial 16S ribosomal RNA". It matches the Rfam family "Bacterial small subunit ribosomal RNA", at positions 524 to 776 of the family's 1533-position model. The record is from RNAcentral.
UACGGGGGGAGCAAGCGUUGUUCGGAUUUACUGGGCGUAAAGGGCGCGUAGGCGGCGCAACAAGUCACUUGUGAAAUCUCCGGGCUUAACUCGGAGCGGUCAAGUGAUACUGUCGUGCUAGAGUGCAGAAGGGGCAACUGGAAUUCUCGGUGUAGCGGUGAAAUGCGUAGAUAUCGAGAGGAACACCUGCGGCGAAGGCGGGUUGCUGGGCUGACACUGACGCUGAGGCGCGAAAGCUAGGGGAGCGAACGGG